CUAAAACUCCCAACCUUCCAAUCACAGGGUUGUUUAUCUGGCAACCAGCCCCCAUCCUGAAGCUAUCUAUGGGCACCAAGAGUCACCUCACUGGCAUAAACUCAGCUCCCUCCUGAUUAUAAUAAGCUCAUGCCUCAGAUCAUCAGAUUUUCAUCACAGAACAUAUACGUACUUCAGCAUCUGCAACCCUAUGGAGGUGACCCCACUUCUUACUGUCUCGUGGAGGGUUCAAGGCAUUCUGUAGAUGCCUUCCAGCCUCUCCCGCCUCCCCGCUCAACACCUUUUAAUCGACGAAGUCCCCUCCUCUUUCUGCAGCCAUUCUGUUACUUACAGAAUGGAGACAACGCCAAUAAAAAUGUACUUUAAACAAAAAGUAAAUUCAGC
Molecule: long non-coding RNA, 384 nt
Filed under: Equus caballus (horse)
Lineage: Eukaryota; Metazoa; Chordata; Mammalia; Perissodactyla; Equidae
Description: lncRNA (ENSECAG00000057049.1)
Source: RNAcentral